UGGCUCAGACAGUAAAGAAUCUGCCUGCAAUGCAGAAGACCCAGGUUCAAUCCCUGG
This 57-nucleotide transfer RNA is filed under the name Muntiacus reevesi (Reeves' muntjac). It matches the Rfam family "tRNA", at positions 8 to 63 of the family's 71-position model. From Rfam's summary of the family: Transfer RNA (tRNA) molecules are approximately 80 nucleotides in length. Their secondary structure includes four short double-helical elements and three loops (D, anti-codon, and T loops). Further hydrogen bonds mediate the characteristic L-shaped molecular structure. tRNAs have two regions of fundamental functional importance: the anti-codon, which is responsible for specific mRNA codon recognition, and the 3' end, to which the tRNAs corresponding amino acid is attached (by aminoacyl-tRNA synthetases). tRNAs cope with the degeneracy of the genetic code in two manners: having more than one tRNA (with a specific anti-codon) for a particular amino acid; and 'wobble' base-pairing, i.e. permitting non-standard base-pairing at the 3rd anti-codon position. Lineage: Eukaryota; Metazoa; Chordata; Mammalia; Artiodactyla; Cervidae. The record is from Rfam by way of RNAcentral. RNAcentral also lists the same sequence under 4 other names.